UAAUCACAAUAUCCAAAUAUAUGCCAUUAUAACACUACAAGUUAUACAUAGUAUAAGCUGGAUUGCUGUCGCUGCAAAUCUCGAAUAAUAACUUUUCUAUCUAUUCGUGCAGUUCAUUGUCACUCCGAGGGAUUCUCAGGAGCCCCUCCUGCCUCAACCUUUUGCCUAUAUUAACUGACUUCAAUUUCAACUCUUCCUCCCUUCGAGGAUCUGGUCAUGAAGCCAUGCGUUUAUCAGUUUUCCUAGAUGCUACGAAUACACCAUCACAUUAACUUCUAGCUUCCCUGCAUCAAGCAUCAGUAAUCUAGUCAUAUGUCCGCUCAUCCUCUCAAAUACUACAAACUUUAAUACAUGGUGAGAGACAUGGUACGAGACUGUAAAUCUGUCUUGAUUAUGAAUUAAGGAGUUUCACUAUUAGGAGAACGACUGGAGUUAUGAAACCCAAAUCUCUGAAUGUGAGUUUACCUUUUCCAUUCCAAGCAGAUAUGAUUGAUCCCAUAUUAACUAACACAUAGGAUGGUCGGCAUCCUCUCUGCCUUUGUUUCCAGAAUCAGGUGCAAAAAGCGCUGAGCUUUCUCAGCAGUCGAUUUCAUAUAUUCAUUCAGCUCCAGCUGCCACCUCAACCCUCAUCAGACUUUGCAACACCGACAUCUGCUGUUCAAAUAAAUAAAACACUCUGCAACCUUCUGCAUUCUGACACUACUACAUGGCUACAGCCUUAGCCCCAGCAACCAAAUCAUUGUACACCACCGGAUGGAACACAUUUACAACUUUCUACACUCAAAACCAAAUAUAUCCCAUCCUGCUUCAAAGAGCAAUGGAUUCUAGCCUCCAUCUCUCAUGCAAGGGAUUCUCUUCACUUAGCCCCCACUACCAUUAAAGCCUACAUCUCUGGAAUUCAGUAUUUCUACUGCCUCAACUCUAUCCUUUCCCUAACACUUCUAUCCAUCCCAUCAGUCCACUUGACACUGUCCAUUCAGUGAGCUGACCAUGGAACUACUAUGUCUAACUGCUUUUUUGGAUUCCUCAGAUGCUCAGAGUUUACCAUCCCAUCAGCUUCCACCCUCCCAGCGACAAGAUAGGUCAUCACAUUCAUCUACUCUCGUUUCCAGAGCAGGUCUUUCCCCUUGAUUUUAUACCCCUCAUUCGUUUAGGAUGGGAGCAGCAACCUCAGCAGCCAGCGCUAACAUCAAUCUCCACCUAAUCAAGAGUAUGGGGCACUGGACUUCAUCAGCAGUAGAUACAUACGUUUGCCCAUCUCCCACCGACAUUGCCACAGUCCAUCAGAAAAUAGUUAACAUGCCCAGAGUAGGGGCUACCUGACCGCUGGGGCUACCAGAGGUUUUUCCCCUUUUAGAAGGGGUUGUUUUCCUUUCCACUGAGCAGCAGGUAAACACAUAAACCAUUACACACUAACCUUUCUACCCCUCUCUGAUUGUCUCGUAUGUCAUUUCAUUCUUGAAUCUAUGUUAUGCAGUGGCACGUGCUCUGUUGUCUGUUUCAUGGUGAUGUUCUGUGGUGAGCCGGGGGUCCAUUCUUUGAGGGAUAAGUGAGCCUCAAUUCCCCGACCUUAGGCUUCCUCAACUUUAUUUAAGGGAAGUUCUCACCAUGUGAGUUAGAGGGGACCCCUGGCCACACUAUCCUUUCGCAGCUCAUCUUACCUCAGUGCAGUGAGGCUCUAUACUAUAUUUAACAUUUCGGGAUGUGGCCCGCUUUAAUUUCUCAGUGUUUGAGUCCCAACUAACCCAUCUAUUCUUGUUCUUUACAGGUUCCCUCCGGGACGCUUAUCUGCUCCUGGCUUCCACUGUCUCACCUCAUUCGAGGGCAGCACCACAUCGGUCAGGGAACCCUUUUACUUUUAUUUCCUUUCAGGUCUCAGCAAGACCUAUUCUCACCCUGCAAGGCGACUCUGUCACAGCAGAAUUUUUCUUAGUUUUUCAGAUCACCGGGGCCGCAGCCUUCAAGACCAGGCCCUUUCCUCCGCAGGACUCUGGUGGGGGAUCUCUUUUCUAUCCAGACUGCAGUCUGUUCAGAAGUCCAGGCCGCAGCCCACUUCUCUAAGUCGUGCCCCCUUUGCCCGUUACUGUCACACUAACACCUCCUUUCUGCCUUCUAUGUGCUAACUACACUAUAGUCCCAGCAGGCGCCCAGUGAAAUACCUUCUAUUUGGUAAAUUUAGAAAUAUAACAUAUAAUAUAGUGUAAAUAUGAACACAUUUACUUAGGCCGGCUGGUAUAAUAGACCUGCUUUAGGGAAUCAGUAAGUAAUUUAGGCCAUUGGCCCAGUAUAUAAAUAUAUUUCCAGCAUGUAAACUUGCAAGAACAUUAAUACAAACAAUGGCUGAGGGAAAUCAAGGUGGAUAAUACAUUACUUUGCUAAAUUAAUUUAGAAAAUACAUGAUCUAAAUAACUAAAUAUACAUGAUCUAAAUUAGCAUAAUUUAUAUAGCUACAGUAAAGAGGUUUUACACAAAACUUAAAUUUUUUUACUACUAAAAAUGAUGGCCCAAAUAAUUAUCGCUUAAUUUUUAAAACAUCUUUAAUGAAUACAAAUGUAUGAUGUCUCUGUAUAAACUUUUGUUGCUGUUAUGGCAUUUCGAUUAUAAAAAAUAGUCUAGUGAGAUUGUCUUAAUAAAUGGUAUUGCACCCUAGAUACGUUUCAGUGGAUCUACAGAAAAGGACAUUCACUGCUAUGGAAUCAGUGUAUUGCUGUGUGUGUGACCCAGGCCUGAUUUAUAAGGACAUUUGUGUUUUGGGAGGAUUGAUUGCUUACUUUCUUUAUAUUAACUCUGUCUCACAAAUGACCAAGUAAAUAAAUGAAUAGUUAUUGAAUACUACAUGUGUAGUUACAUCAAGCACGGGAAAUCUUAUCCAUGAUUUAAUCAUCUCUUUGCAGCAGACCUGUGAUCGUGAUUCUUCAUUUUGUUCUAACAGUGCCGGCCUGCAGCCACCAAGUGAAAGUGUUGAAAAGCUUGUUGCUUUGUUUGGCACAAGUCCUGCUUUUCAAAAGUCCAAGAAGCCGAGAAGAGGCAGCAGUCUUGGGUAACUAUUUACUUA
Molecule: long non-coding RNA, 3055 nt
Organism: Polyodon spathula (Mississippi paddlefish)
Lineage: Eukaryota; Metazoa; Chordata; Actinopteri; Acipenseriformes; Polyodontidae
Exons: 2
Source: RefSeq, a predicted model, not a curated record